UUAGCUUUUCAUUAUUACCCCAUGUUAUCUACUUUCCAGCCCCCUUUCCUUUCUUUAUAGUUGUAUUAUUUCAAACUUUUGCCUCCAAUGUUCUAUUCCGAUUUCUAGACUUAAAAGGUACUAAGCCAACCAACCAAUCGCCUUUUUAUUUAUUAAACAAACACUGGUAUGGGCAACCUAAAUUUUAAAUUCAGGCAUGCCCUGACAACACAUGGCUCCCAGUCAAUCCUAUAAUUUAGUGAAUCAACUUAAACUUCUUUAGUAAAUCAAUCCUAAACUAGAUUAACAAACAUGAUGCACAUUCAAAUAACAACUAAUACAAACAAAUUCACCACAUUCAACUGAAUAACCAAUUCAAUUCAACGUGAUGACUGAC
RNAcentral lists this long non-coding RNA (376 nucleotides) under Nicotiana benthamiana. RNAcentral's name for it is "long non-coding RNA (NBEN_LNC032206)". The record is from RNAcentral. Lineage: Eukaryota; Viridiplantae; Streptophyta; Magnoliopsida; Solanales; Solanaceae.